RNAcentral lists this ribosomal RNA (427 nucleotides) under uncultured bacterium. RNAcentral's name for it is "partial 16S ribosomal RNA". It matches the Rfam family "Bacterial small subunit ribosomal RNA", at positions 355 to 774 of the family's 1533-position model. The record is from RNAcentral.
UGGGGAAUAUUGGACAAUGGGCGAAAGCCUGAUCCAGCCAUGCCGCGUGUGUGAAGAAGGUCUUCGGAUUGUAAAGCACUUUAAGUUGGGAGGAAGGGCAUUAACCUAAUACGUUAGUGUUUUGACGUUACCGACAGAAUAAGCACCGGCUAACUCUGUGCCAGCAGCCGCGGUAAUACAGAGGGUGCAAGCGUUAAUCGGAAUUACUGGGCGUAAAGCGCGCGUAGGUGGGUUGUUAAGUUGGAUGUGAAAUCCCCGGGCUCAACCUGGGAACUGCAUUCAAAACUGACUGACUAGAGUAUGGUAGAGGGUGGUGGAAGUUCCUGUGUAGCGGUGAAAUGCGUAGAUAUAGGAAGGAACACCAGUGGCGAAGGCGACCACCUGGACUAAUACUGACACUGAGGUGCGAAAGCGUGGGGAGCAAACA